Telopea speciosissima is the source of this 133-nucleotide long non-coding RNA. RefSeq lists it as uncharacterized. The record is from RefSeq and is a predicted model, not a curated record. Lineage: Eukaryota; Viridiplantae; Streptophyta; Magnoliopsida; Proteales; Proteaceae. The transcript has 4 exons.
CAACACUAACCAAUAAAAGAACAUCACUUGGAUUAAACAAAUGGAUGAAACAAUGAUACGGUGCCUCCAAGUCCAAGUAUGGGAAGGGAGAAUAGUAGGAAAUGCUUUUAAAGAGUCAGCUUACAUGGCUGCA